This 1415-nucleotide long non-coding RNA is filed under the name Homo sapiens (human). RNAcentral describes it as "HSALNT0299666". The record is from RNAcentral. Lineage: Eukaryota; Metazoa; Chordata; Mammalia; Primates; Hominidae.
GCAUCAAACUAUGUUCUGAUAGUAUAUCAGGCUAUCAAUAACAUUAUAUCACUGAUCAAUAGGCUCUGCAUUAAACCAAAACUCUUUCUGAAGUGAGAAUCUCUUCUUUAUCUGCCAAAAUUCAUGAGGAAGAAACACCAGGUUACCUUGACUUAUGGACAUAGAUCCAUGGAUAUGAACUCUGAAUUGCAUAAUCAUGCUGAAUGUUAACAGUUACUAACAAUGAGUUAUCAAAGCUGAGUAACACUCAACAACCUUAUACAUAAUUGAGUCACCUUACUUCUGCCAAGGCAUAGCCUGAGGACAUGAAAGAAUUAAAGAAUGACUGUGAAGUGAAAAAUAACCACAGCGUAACAUUUGGAUGGAAAGAAAAAUGGCUAAAACGAGGCACAAUGAACAGUGAGCCAAGGACUCUGUGAGGGAGAAGAAUCCAUGGGUUAUUAGAAGCUGUGACAUAGUGACUGUGUAUUACUUGACUGGGUGUAUCACUGAAGAGAACCUGCAAGUUUCAGCAUCUUCAUCAUUAUCAUUGCCAGCAUCAUCAACAUAAUCACUAUCACUUACACUCACACACUUCUUAUCCGCUAUGACUGUAGAGUAAUAUAGCCUUCACAUUGUUUCCACAUACUAUGCUCAUUUGCUUCUCACAAAACUCUGUGUGGUUGUUAAGGCAGCUAUUUCUAUAAUUUCACUGGAAGUUUACCUUGUGUCCCGAAAGAAAAAAUAAAUACAUUGUAAAAGUUAAAAGCACAAAACACUACAAUUUGGAUCAAGUUGCGUGUAAAAACAAAAUCUGGAUACCUAUAGCACAGCUACUAAUCAUACGGUUACCUUCAUUAUUGAUUUCCAGAAGAACAUCCUUCUUUUAAGAAAAUAUAUCAUUGCACUGAAGACUGGUGAUUUUAACCAUUCUCGUUGUACCUUUACUUUAAUGCCCCUUUAACAUUUUUAUGCAAAAACAACACUAAUACUUUCCAGGCAUUUCAUUAGAAACACUGGAUUCAUAUAAGGUAAAAUACAAAGUGAGAAGUAGCAAUAAGAUUAUAAUGAGCAUCAUAUAAUCACUCAUCAUUCAUGGCAAAAGAAAUCAAACCAAAAUAGCACAAAACACCAGCCAAGUAGGAAUGAGGAAAUGCUGCCCCCUACAAUCAUUAUUAUGAAUGUGGGUUCUUUAAUUUCACUUGAGCUCAUAAAAGCAUAGUCUAAUAUAAUGUAUCCCUGUCUCUUCAAUUGACCAUCAUUUACCUUCCCGUCCAGAAAACACAUUUAUGAAUUAGGUUCAAAACCAUUUUUGGUUGUGUGCAUUUCAUACUCCAAGAUUCCUGCUGAAUGGUGUUAUAGAAAGUACAGUUAUUAGUGCUGAAAUUCACCUCAAUUCUAUUUCUGAAAAAAGGUCUCUUAAGCACUUGCCAGAG